Molecule: ribosomal RNA, 465 nt
Filed under: uncultured Gammaproteobacteria bacterium
Lineage: Bacteria; Pseudomonadati; Pseudomonadota; Gammaproteobacteria
Description: bacterial SSU rRNA
Rfam family: Bacterial small subunit ribosomal RNA
Source: RNAcentral
AGAGUUUGAUCAUGGCUCAGAUUGAACGCUGGCGGUAGGCUUAACACAUGCAAGUCGAGCGGAAACGAAGAAAAGCUUGCUUUUCAGGCGUCGAGCGGCGGACGGGUGAGUAACGCGUAGGAAUCUGCCUAGUAGUGGGGGACAACCUGUGGAAACGCAGGCUAAUACCGCAUAAUCCCUGAGGGGGAAAGGAGGGGAUCUUCGGACCUUUCGCUAUUAGAUGAGCCUGCGUGAGAUUAGCUAGUUGGUGAGGUAAAGGCUCACCAAGGCGACGAUCUCUAGCUGGUCUGAGAGGAUGAUCAGCCACACUGGGACUGAGACACGGCCCAGACUCCUACGGGAGGCAGCAGUGGGGAAUAUUGGACAAUGGGCGCAAGCCUGAUCCAGCCAUACCGCGUGUGUGAAGAAGGCCUUAGGGUUGUAAAGCACUUUCAGAAGGGAGGAAAGGUNNAUGUUUAAUACGCA